AUUAUUAUAGUUUAAAAAAAACAUUAAAUUGCAAAUUUAAAAAUUAAUUUUAAAAAUUAUAAUAAUU
RNAcentral lists this transfer RNA (67 nucleotides) under Apis andreniformis. RNAcentral's name for it is "tRNA-Cys". Lineage: Eukaryota; Metazoa; Arthropoda; Insecta; Hymenoptera; Apidae. The record is from RNAcentral.